GUUUCACCAUCUUGUCCAGGCUAGUCUGAAACUCCUGACCUUGUGAUCCGCCCACCUCAACCUCCCAAAGUGCUGGGAUUACAGGCAUGAGCUACCACGCCCGGCCCAUUUUAACUAUUUGUAAGUGUACAAGCAGCUCCGUGAACGCGAUGGCCCAGCCAGGUACAGACACCUCACCCAACCCACCCAGGACGUUUACACUUGCCAGUAACUCUCCCGCUAUCACCAAUUCUGAUGAAUAUGAUAGAUAUGAUGGAGUUUCCCUCUUGUUGCCCAGGCUGGAGUGCAAU
Long non-coding RNA from Cebus imitator (Panamanian white-faced capuchin), 290 nucleotides. RefSeq lists it as uncharacterized. The transcript has 3 exons. The record is from RefSeq and is a predicted model, not a curated record. NCBI's taxonomy places the organism in Eukaryota, Metazoa, Chordata, Mammalia, Primates, Cebidae.